UAUCAAUAAGCGGAGGAAAAGAAACUAACAAGGAUUCCCCUAGUAACUGCGAGUGAAGCGGGAAAAGCUCAAAUUUAAAAUCUGGCGGUCUUUGGCCGUCCGAGUUGUAAUCUAGAGAAGUGUUACCCGCGUCGGACCGUGUACAAGUCUCCUGGAAUGGAGCGUCAUAGAGGGUGAGAAUCCCGUCUUUGACACGGACUACCGAGGCUUUGUGGUGCGCUCUCAAAGAGUCGAGUUGUUUGGGAAUGCAGCUCAAAAUGGGUGGUAAAUUCCAUCUAAAGCUAAAUAUUGGCGAGAGACCGAUAGCGAACAAGUACCGUGAGGGAAAGAUGAAAAGAACUUUGGAAAGAGAGUUAAACAGUACGUGAAAUUGCUGAAAGGGAAACGCUUGAAGUCAGUCGCGUUGGCCGGAAAUCAGCCUUGGUUCUCCUUGGUGUAUUUUCUGGUGGACGGGCCAGCAUCAGUUUUGACCGGUGGAAAAAGUUGUAGGGAAUGUGGCAUCUUCGGAUGUGUUAUAGCCUUGCUUCGUAUACAUCGGUUGGGACUGAGGAACUCAGCACGCCGCAAGGCCGGGGUUCGCCCACGUUCGUGCUUAGGAUGCUGGCAUAAUGGCUUUAAUCGACCCGUCUUGAAACACGGACCAAGGAGUCUAACAUGCCUGCGAGUGUUUGGGUGGAAAACCCGGACGCGCAAUGAAAGUGAAAGUCGAGAUCCUUGUCAUGGGGAGCAUCGACGCCCGGACCUGAAGUUUACGGACGGUUCUGCGGUAGAGCAUGUAUGUUGGGACCCGAAAGAUGGUGAACUAUGCCUGAAUAGGGUGAAGCCAGAGGAAACUCUGGUGGAGGCUCGUAGCGAUUCUGACGUGCAAAUCGAUCGUCAAAUUUGGGUAUAGGGGGCGAAAGACUAAUCGAACCAUCUAGUAGCUGGUCCUGC
RNAcentral lists this ribosomal RNA (933 nucleotides) under Ephemerocybe subimpatiens. Its description in RNAcentral is "LSU rRNA". It matches the Rfam family "Eukaryotic large subunit ribosomal RNA", at positions 41 to 960 of the family's 3401-position model. Lineage: Eukaryota; Fungi; Basidiomycota; Agaricomycetes; Agaricales; Psathyrellaceae. The record is from RNAcentral.